AUGGAAGAAUACAGCGAUGAGGCAACAUUUCAUGCCGAGAUUGAAGUGUUGACAAAAAUCAGGCAUCGAUGCAUUGUUAAGUUAUAUGGCUUUUGUUCCCACUCCCAGUGCAAAUUCCUUGUGUAUGAUCUUAUCGAGAGGGGAAGUUUAUCAUCCAUGCUUCAUGACCAAGAGCUAGUGAAGGAAUUGAAUUGGCCCAAGAGAGUGACUGUUGUGAGAGAUGUAGCUCAAGCUCUCUCUUACUUGCACCAUGAUUGUGAUGAUCCGAUCGUGCAUCGCGACAUAAAAAGCAGCAACAUUCUUCUGGACCUCGAUUUUAAAGCUUAUGUCUCAGACUUCGGCAUGGCGAGGAAACUGAAGCACGGUUACUCAAGCUGGAGCACUAUCUUUGCAGGGACAUGUGGCUACAUAGCCCCGGAAUUGUCAUCUACCAUGGUGUUGACAGAGAAGUGCGACGUGUACAGCUUCAGCGUGGUUGCGCUGGAAGUUUUGAUUGGAAAGCACCCAGGUGAUCUGCUCCUUCCGUUCUUUUGCCGAACAGAGCAGCCGGGGAAGUUCAAGGAUAUCCUAGAUUGA
RNAcentral lists this ribosomal RNA (576 nucleotides) under Triticum aestivum (bread wheat). Its description in RNAcentral is "partial small subunit ribosomal RNA". Lineage: Eukaryota; Viridiplantae; Streptophyta; Magnoliopsida; Poales; Poaceae. The record is from RNAcentral.